RNAcentral lists this long non-coding RNA (475 nucleotides) under Physcomitrium patens. RNAcentral's name for it is "long non-coding RNA (PPAT_LNC014109)". Lineage: Eukaryota; Viridiplantae; Streptophyta; Bryopsida; Funariales; Funariaceae. The record is from RNAcentral.
UGAGCUCUUUUUUAAAGAUCAAUGGAAUAAUCAUAAAGAUAAUAUUUUAAUAAAAUAUUUGUAUUUUUUUUCCAAAGACAUCUUGAUAAUCUAAAUUUUGGCUUAAAAUGCCACUUAAAAUGUUUUUUCCAUCAAAAAUAAGUGUGAAAUAUAUAAUAAAUUUUGACCUUUCUUUUGUAACAUGCAUGAAAGUUUUUGCACCAACCAAUAAUAAUUUAGAUGUAUUGGUCUUAUGGAUUUUUACUUGUCUAGAAAAAUUUUGGCCUAAUUUAUGAAAAAAAUUAAGAUUAUGAGAAAUCUAGUCUAUCUAAGAGUUAUAUCGUUUUAAUCACAAUAAUCCUGAAAUAAUUAAAUUAAAAAGAAUUAUAAUCAUAUUAAAUAUUAUAAAACUAUUAUGACCAAUAGUUGCUAGUUCUCUAAGAAUGGUUUCAUGUGUAACAUCCUCAAAAGACAAUAAAUGACUAUCUAUUAUUUC